This is a long non-coding RNA of Piliocolobus tephrosceles (Ugandan red Colobus), 1480 nucleotides long. RefSeq lists it as uncharacterized. The transcript is spliced from 2 exons. Lineage: Eukaryota; Metazoa; Chordata; Mammalia; Primates; Cercopithecidae. The record is from RefSeq and is a predicted model, not a curated record.
AAGUAUGACAUACUGCCGGAACUGUGGCUAAUGGUGUGGACCACCCUGCUCACUGGUAGCAGAGUGGGUAGCUACGCUCUCUUCUGGAAGCCCCUCUGCAGCACUACUCUUGGGAGUGGAAAAGGAAGUGGUCAAAGACCUACAUUUGGGAGCUGAUCUGUCUUGCCCUCAGUUAGGGCCCAGCCCUUCCCUGGGGACCAGGAAAAUCUUUGCUCACCUGGAGAAGCUGCUGGUUCAGCCCAACUUUAUCUAAGGCCAAAGCCUCAUUUAAGGCACUGAGCUUGACAGCUGCAGCCCGAAGAUGAGCUACUUCUGUCUUCAGCGUGUUUUCAGAACUCGACAGCUCUGCAAUUGACUGCUCUGCCUAAAAAACAGAGGGUUAAAGAGUUUCGUAUUUCCAAUUUUCCUGGAACAGUGAACAGUUCACAUUCCCAAUACUGCUGCUUUUUGGUACAGAGAUCAGUUAAUACUCCAUUCCCUCUCCUGCACUCUAAACAAGUUUUCCCUUGAUUCAUUCAAUAAGCAGUAAGACGGGAGCUCACAGUAUAGAGACACCAAUGUUAGGACAGAGAAAUGACUACGAUUAUAAUGACGCCACAGAAAAUGUAAGCACAAAGUGCUCUGGGAACUCAAAAAAAAAUAUUAAUAUAGUUUGGAAGAGUCAAAUAUGCUUGGUAGAGGAGUUGACGAUUAAGUUGGGAAUUGAGAGAUGAGGAAGAGUUUGAGCAUAAAGGAGGAGGAAAGAAGUAGUGCAGAGAAAGGGAAAAGUAUACACAGAGUAUUAGAGUCAUGAAAGAACAUGGAAUAACUGAGAAGGCAAUUACUGCUCUGUGGCAGGAGCAAAGGAUAUGAGAUGUUUAGGAUGGGUUUUGUAGUAGAAGGGGAGGCUAAAACACAGUUUGGGGCACAUGACAAAAAGUUUUGAAUGUGGCACCACAGAGCUAGAAAGCCAUUGAAUGGUUUUAAGAGACUGACAUAACCAGCUUUAUACUUUAGAAAACCCAUUCUAAUUCCAAUAUAGAGGGUAUGUUGGAAGAUAGAGAACCCAGAAGCAGACUAAUGACUGAGGAAAGAUGAGGGAUCCUGGCUUGAAGGUGAAUAAUGAGGCAGGCUGCAUGGGAACACACUUUCGAAGCCGCCCACCCAGCAAGUGAGGAGAGGAGGCCACGCACCCUAGCCAGCGCUGCCGUCACUUCCGUUUGCUCUUGCCUCAGUAACUCCCCUUCCAGGCGACUUGACUCCAGGGCUUCCCGAAGAGUGAUCAGUUGACUGAGUGAUUCUGACUGUUUGGCUUCCAGGCCCACCAGCGUCUCCUGACUAAGAUGGGAAGGAGAGGGGUCUAGAGGAACUCUUAGGGACGGGCCGUAACCCCAGAGGUAACAGGAAUUUAAUCACCUUCGCUAUGCAACAGAAUGAGGAUGGUCUAUAAACACUGAUAAGGAAAGACUUCUAAGACAUGUCAAGUGAAAAAAAAAUCAAG